RNAcentral lists this ribosomal RNA (508 nucleotides) under uncultured bacterium. RNAcentral's name for it is "partial 16S ribosomal RNA". It matches the Rfam family "Bacterial small subunit ribosomal RNA", at positions 28 to 523 of the family's 1533-position model. The record is from RNAcentral.
GAUGAACGCUAGCUACAGGCUUAACACAUGCAAGUCGAGGGGAAACGAUAGAGAAAGCUUGCUUUUUCUAGGCGCCGACCGGCGCACGGGUGAGUAACGCGUAUCCAACCUGCCCAUCACUUGGGGAUAACCUUGCGAAAGUAAGACUAAUACCCAAUGACGUCUCUAGAAGACAUCUGAAAGAGAUUAAAGAUUUAUCGGUGAUGGAUGGGGAUGCGUCUGAUUAGCUUGUUGGCGGGGUAACGGCCCACCAAUGCGACGAUCAGUAGGGGUUCUGAGAGGAAGGUCCCCCACAUUGGAACUGGGACACGGUCCAAACUCCUACGGGAUGCAGCAGUGAGGAAUAUUGGUCAAUGGACGAGAGUCUGAACCAGCCAAGUAGCGUGCAGGAUGACGGCCCUAUGGGUUGUAAACUGCUUAUAUAAGGGAAUAAAGUGAGAGUCGUGACUCUUUUUGCAUGUACCUUAUGAAUAAGGACCGGCUAAUUCCGUGCCAGCCGCCGCGGUAA